UACGGAGGGUGCAAGCGUUAUCCGGAUUCACUGGGUUUAAAGGGUGCGUAGGUGGCCAACUAAGUCAGACGUGAAAUCCCCAGGCUCAACUUGGGAACUGCGUCUGAUACUGGAUGGCUUGAAUUCGGGAGAGGGAUGCAGAAUUCCAGGUGUAGCGGUGAAAUGCGUAGAUAUCUGGAGGAAUACCGGUGGCGAAGGCGGCAUCCUGGACCGAUAUUGACACUGAUGAGCGAAAGCUAGGGGAGCAAACGGG
RNAcentral lists this ribosomal RNA (253 nucleotides) under uncultured bacterium. Its description in RNAcentral is "partial 16S ribosomal RNA". It matches the Rfam family "Bacterial small subunit ribosomal RNA", at positions 524 to 776 of the family's 1533-position model. The record is from RNAcentral.